AUUCUUCGGAACCUGUCGCUGGAAGAGGGGCCCGCGUACCAUCAGCUUGUUGGUGAGGUAAUGGCUCACCAAGGCUUACGGUUAGCUGGUCUGAGAGGAUGGUCAGCCACACUGGGACUGAGACACUGCCCAGACUCCUACGGGAGGCUGCAGUCGAGGAUCAUUCGCAAUGCGCGAAAGCGUGACGAUGCGACGCUGCGUGUAGGAUGACGGCCCUAGGGUUGUAAACUACUGUCAUGUGGGAAAAAUGGUCCCGAGGAAUAACACCUUCGGGACGUGAUGGUACCACAAGAGGAAGCCACGGCUAACUCUGUGCCAGCAGCCGCGGUAAUACAGAGGUGGCGAGCGUUGUUCGGAUUUACUGGGCGUAAAGAGUACGUAGGCGGUUUGGUAUGUCGGAUGUGAAAGCCAUGGCUCAACUGUGGAACUGCAUCCGAAACUACCAUGACUAGAGUGCAGGAGGGGAGGGUGGAAUUCUUGGUGUAGCGGUGAAAUGCGUUGAUAUCAAGAGGAACACCGGUGGCGAAGGCGACUCUCUGGAAUGUAACUGACGCUGAGGUACGAAAGCGUGGGGAGCAAACAGGAUUAGAUACCCUGGUAGUCCACGCCGUAAACGUUGCGGACUUGGUGUUGGAGGUAUUGACCCCUUCAGUGCCGGAGCUAACGCGUUAAGUCCGCCGCCUGGGGAGUACGGCCGCAAGGCUAAAACUCAAAGAAAUUGACGGGGGCCCGCACAAGCGGAGGAGCAUGUGGCUUAAUUCGAUGCAACGCGAAGAACCUUACCAGGGCUUGACAUCUAGCUGCACGCCUCCCGAAAGGGAGGAAGCCUUCGAGGGUGCUAGACAGGUGCUGCAUGGCUGUCGUCAGUUCGUGCCGUGAGGUGUUGGGUUAAGUCCCGCAACGAACGCAACCCUUGUGUCUAGUUGCCACCGGUGACGUUAAGUUGCCGAGCACUCUAGACAGACUGCCUGUACAAGCAGGAGGAAGGUGGGGACGACGUCAAAUCAGUAUGGCCCUUACGCCCUGGGCUGCACACGUGCUACAAUGGCUGGUACAAUGGGCUGCAAUACCGCGAGGUGGAGCUAAUCCCCAAAACCAGCCCCAGUUCGGAUUGGAGUCUGAAACUCGACUCCAUGAAGGUGGAUCCGCUAGUAAUGCCGCAUCAGCUACGGCGGCGUGAAUACGUUCCCGGGCCUUGUAC
This 1201-nucleotide ribosomal RNA is filed under the name metagenome. Its description in RNAcentral is "bacterial SSU rRNA". It matches the Rfam family "Bacterial small subunit ribosomal RNA", at positions 207 to 1386 of the family's 1533-position model. The record is from RNAcentral.